CACGUAGGGUGCGAGCGUUGUCCGGAAUUAUUGGGCGUAAAGCGCGCGUAGGUGGCCACAUAAGUCCGUUGUGAAAGUCAAAGGCUCAACCUUUGAAAGCCGAUGGAUACUGUGUGGCUAGAGUACGGAAGAGGCGAGUGGAAUUCCUGAUGUAGCGGUGGAAUGCGCAGAUAUCAGGAGGAACACCAAUAGCGAAGGCAGCUCGCUGGGACGUUACUGACACUGAGGCGCGAAAGCGUGGGGAGCGAACAGG
Molecule: ribosomal RNA, 253 nt
Filed under: uncultured bacterium
Lineage: Bacteria
Description: partial 16S ribosomal RNA
Rfam family: Bacterial small subunit ribosomal RNA
Source: RNAcentral